This is a non-coding RNA of Populus trichocarpa (black cottonwood), 161 nucleotides long. The record is from Rfam. NCBI's taxonomy places the organism in Eukaryota, Viridiplantae, Streptophyta, Magnoliopsida, Malpighiales, Salicaceae.
UCUAGAACUCCAGCUAUGGGUAAACUUUUAAGCAGUGUUUGGGCUGGAUUGCAGGACAGAUUUUGACUUCUCUUUUGUGGUCAAGCUUUGAAUUUGCAAACGACAGAUUUGGGUCUUCCACUCUUCAUGAAAGUUGUAGACCUAUGUCUUAACUUUCUAGA